GGGCAGGUAGCUCAGUCGGUAGAGCAGAAGACUGAAAAUCUUCGUGUCGGCAGUUCGAUUCUGCCCCUGCCCACCA
Molecule: transfer RNA, 76 nt
Filed under: Deltaproteobacteria bacterium
Lineage: Bacteria; Pseudomonadati; Myxococcota; Myxococcia
Also listed under: 3 other names
Description: tRNA-Phe
Rfam family: tRNA
About the family: Transfer RNA (tRNA) molecules are approximately 80 nucleotides in length.
Source: RNAcentral